RNAcentral lists this ribosomal RNA (253 nucleotides) under uncultured bacterium. Its description in RNAcentral is "partial 16S ribosomal RNA". It matches the Rfam family "Bacterial small subunit ribosomal RNA", at positions 524 to 776 of the family's 1533-position model. The record is from RNAcentral.
UACGUAGGUGGCAAGCGUUGUCCGGAUUUACUGGGCGUAAAGCGCGCGUAGGCGGCCCUGCAAGUCGGGGGUGAAAGCCCGAGGCUCAACCUCGGAACUGCCUUCGAUACUGCGGGUCUCGAGUCCGGGAGAGGUGAGUGGAAUUCCUAGUGUAGAGGUGAAAUUCGUAGAUAUUAGGAAGAACACCAGUGGCGAAGGCGGCUCACUGGCCCGGUACUGACGCUGAGGAGCGAAAGUGUGGGGAGCGAACAGG